UACGGAGGGUGCAAGCGUUGUCCGGAUUUAUUGGGCUUAAAGGGUGCGUAGGCGGCCCUGUAAGUCAGUGGUGAAAUUCUUGAGCUUAACUGAAGGAUUGCCAUUGAUACUGUAGGGCUUGAGUACAGAUGAGGUAGGCGGAAUUGAUGGUGUAGCGGUGAAAUGCAUAGAUACCAUCAAGAACACCGACUGCGAAGGCAGCUUACUAAGCUGUAACUGACGCUGAUGCACGAAAGCGUGGGGAUCGAACAGG
This 253-nucleotide ribosomal RNA is filed under the name uncultured bacterium. RNAcentral describes it as "partial 16S ribosomal RNA". It matches the Rfam family "Bacterial small subunit ribosomal RNA", at positions 524 to 776 of the family's 1533-position model. The record is from RNAcentral.